RNAcentral lists this ribosomal RNA (600 nucleotides) under uncultured bacterium. RNAcentral's name for it is "bacterial SSU rRNA". It matches the Rfam family "Bacterial small subunit ribosomal RNA", at positions 735 to 1339 of the family's 1533-position model. The record is from RNAcentral.
CUUUACUGACGCUAAAGCUCGAAGGUGCGGGUAUCGAACAGGAUUAGAUACCCUGGUAGUCCGCACGGUAAACGAUGGAUGCCCGCUGUUUGCGAUACACUGUGAGCGGCCAAGCGAAAGCGUUAAGCAUCCCACCUGGGGAGUACGCCGGCAACGGUGAAACUCAAAGGAAUUGACGGGGGCCCGCACAAGCGGAGGAACAUGUGGUUUAAUUCGAUGAUACGCGAGGAACCUUACCCGGGCUUGAACUGCCGGCGUACGAUACAGAGAUGUUGAGGCCCUUCGGGGCGCCGGUGGAGGUGCUGCAUGGUUGUCGUCAGCUCGUGCCGUGAGGUGUCGGCUUAAGUGCCAUAACGAGCGCAACCCCUCUCCGUAGUUGCCAUCGGGUGAUGCCGGGCACUCUGCGGACACUGCCACCGUAAGGUGUGAGGAAGGUGGGGAUGACGUCAAAUCAGCACGGCCCUUACGUCCGGGGCUACACACGUGUUACAAUGGGUGGUACAGAGGGCAGGCGGCCGGCGACGUCCGUCGAAUCCUAAAAGCCAUCCUCAGUUCGGACUGGGGUCUGCAACCCGACCCCACGAAGCUGGAUUCGCUAGU